UACAGAGGGGGCAAGCGUUGUUCGGAAUUACUGGGCGUAAAGGGCGCGUAGGCGGCCUGCUAAGUCGGAUGUGAAAUCCCGGGGCUCAACCCCGGAACUGCAUUCGAUACUGCCCUGCUCGAGUACUGGAGAGGAGAUCGGAAUUUACGGUGUAGCAGUGAAAUGCGUAGAUAUCGUAAGGAAGACCAGUGGCGAAGGCGGAUCUCUGGACAGUUACUGACACUGAGGCACGAAGGCCAGGGGAGCAAACGGG
RNAcentral lists this ribosomal RNA (253 nucleotides) under uncultured bacterium. RNAcentral describes it as "partial 16S ribosomal RNA". It matches the Rfam family "Bacterial small subunit ribosomal RNA", at positions 524 to 776 of the family's 1533-position model. The record is from RNAcentral.